UGGAGUGGGAACGGGGGGUUGGGUGCUUGAGGGAAAUGAGUAAGCAAGAAAAAUCUAACUAAGUAAAUCCAAGGCCUCGCUUCUAAGAGCCCCGGGGCGGGAGUGGCCGCCCCAGGGGUGGGUAUAGUGUUUACGUGUGUUUCUUUUGGGGGGUGGAUGGAUGGGCAAUUGAAACCCAGAUGAGGGCUUCACGCCCGUGGCCGAGUUGAGCUGCUUUCUGUCUUGCUUCCCUUGUGCUGAAGGGGGAGGGGGCGGGUCAGAGGGUAGGGUGUCUGUGGGGUUCCCAGGCCACCCGCCACCCCCUCCCUUUGUCCCUGUAAUUUAUAAAGCGCCUUUGAGAGAUGAUUUAGGUCAGUAUGCGGCUUCCCUUUUUGUUGCUACUAGAAAGAAGUGUGGCCCCGAGGUCUCCCCUUCUUCCUUUCUUUCCUGCAUUCCUUCCUCCAUGCCUCCUGUCUUCACCCUCGUGUUGAGGCUUGGCCCAGACCAGGCUAGAACCCACCCGGACUCAGCUAUCUGUGGUUGCAUGGUAAUACCAGUCGAGGACCUCACCUAGCUUUAGGUCUAGAUGUGUUUGUUUUGCACAAUCAAUAUUUCGCUGGGGUCUUAAGAAGAAAGUCUGUGCACAUAUAUAGGACUUAGGAAAUGGGGUGGGUGGAUAAAUAAUUAAUUUUUUAAAAUUCUCUUUCUGUUCAUAAUUUUGCCCUGGGUUGGAUCUUUAGUGCUUUCCAGCCUAGAGAUACUUACUGGGGAUGUGCGAUACAGUCCCAGUAAAAGAGGCUCAUCCUUUUAGUGACUAGGGUCUGCCAGCAGGGGGGAAGCCGAGUACAGUACCUGCUUACACAUUCAGUAUCCAGUGUGCUAGAUUCUCAGGCACAGAAUAUUCCAUUCUUUCAUUAGCAGUAAAUAAUUUUUCGGACUUGAUUAAACAUGCUUGGCCAUACAGAAACCCUAUUUCCCCCUACACAAUCGGUUCCUAUUUCAUAAAUAACCUGGAACAACUGGCUAUUGACAUGCUUCUUGGAUUAGGUUCAGGUUUGCAGGGAACGUUAUUUUUGAUAAUAGGAAAUUGUGAGACUACUAAAUUGCUCUUUAAAAAAACUUAGACUAUUUGUUGGACCAGGUCACCAAGACUGUCUAACCAGAUUUAUGUGUAGUUCACUGUAGUUAAGUAUUUAAAAUACAAAAAUAUUGCCUUCGUUGUCUUGCAAGUUGUUUCUAAACUUUAUUAGCCUUCUUGCCAUGAAGUUAUUCCAGGAGUAUAGAUUGUUUUGAAUUUGGAUACUUAAAAAUAAUGUUUCAUUAUAGGGAUAUAAAUGCUUAUACAUAUUCAAAAGUCAUUUUAUGUAAGAUUGUAAUGUAUGCUGAAUCACUGGUUAAUCUACGAUUUCAAUGCUGUAUCUUCUGGGAGGGGUAUGAAGUUUUAUCUCCCAAGUGCAUACAAAGUCCUCAGUAUUGCGGGCAAUGUUUGAUUUUUUUUUUUCUUCUUAUCAGUAUUUCAGUAGGCUUCCUGUUCAGUCUUGAAAUUUAUUUUAUUUUAUUUUUGAGGCAGGGUCUCUUGUAGCCUUGAACUCCUGAUCUUGACUCGAGUGUCCACAUUCUGAGAUUAAAGACAUGUACCACCCUGUGUUUUGGGAUUCUGUUGAUGUUUUCUCCUGAGCAUGAAGGUUGGGAAGGUGUGUCAAAUGAACCAAAAUAGGACUAUUCAAACAUUAUAUGUUCAAGAAGAGGUGGGAGAUUCUUCAGGUGAUCAGAGUUCUAGACCCACAUGGGUCUACUUUCAUGUUCCGACUCCAGAACAUUUGAGAGCUUGACAGAGCAAGUGGCUUGCCUUCUCAUUAACUGUAGCCUCUUGUCUUCAUUUACAAGCUGUCUGCUGUUAGACAAAUAACUUAAUCUGUCAGAAUUGUUCAUUAUUCUACAAAAUAGGAAGGUAAUAAUUCUAACUUUGAGGUUUUUAAAAAGCAAUAUGAUAAUACAUGUAUAAUACUUAAGUACAAGGCCUGGCAAAUAGUAGCUGCUCCAUAAAAUUAGUCUUCAUAAAUCAAGUAUUUUUAUAACUCAGGGGCUGCAUACAUAACUGUCCCUUUGUUUACCUAUAUGAACAGAAUGAUCUAAAGUGGUAUGUAAUUCCAUUCUUCCAGGAAAUUGAGAAUCUGUUAAUGCAAGAGGCAGUAGCCUAUCACGUCAGAUUGACUUUAAUUCAGUCAUCGCAACCUGCUGGUUAUACAUUUCAAAGGAGCCCUCCAUGCCUAAUAAAUCUCAUCUGAGAAUGGAAGACUGUAGAUGCUAUUUCAGCAGGGUCUCUUUUCCUGAACAAGUUUGAAAGAAGAAAAAUGUGGGUUCCUGUGGUUCUGUAUGCAGUAAUCUUGCUUCUACAGAAAUGUAUGGUGGAUGCCAAGUUGAAGCUGGGAGAGAAUUUUUAGUCACUACAUACCCCAAAAUGGAAGUUUUAAUAUAAUGCAAUGCCCAGACGUGGGCAGGACAAAUAGCUCCACUAUAAUCAGUACCGAGGGCGCCACCCUAAUCAUCCCUGGGAACAAAGCACCCUUAACCGAGCUAAAGCACCCAAGCAUGAGAACAGGAAAGGAUUUUUUUUAAUGUGGAUUUUUCUAAAAAUCGCCACCUUGUAUAAUACUUGGAAGAAGGACAGAGUCUGUGGAGUUUAACAGCGUGUGGUGUAACGUUAACUUGGGAAAAGAAUAUCUGUCUACCUUGGGCUUAGGAAUAAAUACCAACACCUGGGGAGUGAAAAGACUGGCGGGGUGGGGGGAGUAUUUUGUGUCUUAGAAGUAAAAAGCAGUUUCCCCUACUUUUCUCUAUUGUCAUUUCCAGUGAGACCACACACACACACACACACACACACACACACACACACACUUUUAGUCCCUUCCAAUUGGCUAUUUUCUCCAACUUACCCUGAUUAUUUAUAUAAAUAGUCCAUAUGACUGGGUAUAAACGUUGCCCCAAGCCAGCCAACUCCAAUUCUUUUUACCCGUCUAUUUUUUUUUUUUAGUAAUAUUUUAAUCAGGAUGGGUGAAGACCAUUUACUUAAUAUACUGAGUACCCCAAGGUCUGUGAAGAUAAUUGAAAAUAGUGCAAGGAAGAAAGAUUCCAGUUUCCACCUCUGCCCCCCAUGCUGAAGGGAACAUCCCUGAAUUCUUUGAGUUGGUGAAGAGCCCCCGCCCAGUAAUACUUCACAGGACUAUGAAUAAAGACCAGAUAAACGGGAAACCACAGAUGUAGGACCUUCCUUCUCCAUCCUGUCUGCCCUCUAAGAAUGCCUGGGAAAAUGCUCUCACACAGAGAAGGGAUAUACUGCAGAAGGUACCAGAAAGCAGCCACUCAAGAGACUGGCAAGGUGUGGGUAGGGUUAAUUCUGUGGGAUUAUUUAGGUGGCUUUCCAGUAGGGGGGAAUGUUUAGUUUAUUUUCAUCUUAUACCUUUGCCUUAAAUGUUCACCUCAAAUAUUUAAGUUGUAAGAAUGUAUUUCUACCCGGCCUUAAUGGGAGUCGGUCUUGUGGCCACACUUACCUGCAACUGCGAAGAUGUGGUAAAGCCAGGGUGGAAUCCAAAAGGUCCCCAUAAACUUAACUUUGCUGGAGACCCUGAGUACCAGGCCGAGGCUGUGCUUUGUAAUGUAAGACAGGAGCGAUGUUAGCUUGAGGAUGAAGCCAGUGAGAAGAUAGCUGAUUGAAUCCAGUAGAUAAAAAAGAAUGAGUGAUUUCAGUUUGCUUUCUCUUCGGUAGCCCAACUGUUUGGGGCCAUUUGUAAUGUCCAUGCAGCAUUCUUAUAACUUGAUGCCAAUAUUUCAGGUUAGCAUAUUCACUACUUGGUAAAUGUGAUGGUUUGGGACUCAUAGUGUGGGAGUUUAUAAUACGUAGCUCUUAUUAUCCAACCUGGCUUCUUUUGCAGGUGAUACAAUUAAAGGUCCACUGCAAGUUACAUUGCUCAGCCAAGGUCACAAGGCAGCAGAGGGCAGGCCAGAACUGAAACUGGAGAUUCUUGCCUUCUUAUCAGCUCUUUUUGUGAGGAGAGGGUUAAUGGUCUUAGAUGCCCUACAUGGGAGACUUAGGUGUGUGGACAACGUUUUAAGUUUUCAUCAGAAGUGCACUUUGAACCACCAGCUCUGAAGUCACAACUUAUUCCCAGAGAUGCUAAGAAAUCAAGGCUGCUGUACACACUCAGUGAAACGGACUUUUAAAUGGAGAGGAAUGACAGGUUUUCCUAAAUAGUGGUAGCAGUGGUUUUUUUUUUUUUUUUUUUUUUUUAAGCUUGAUCUGAUGUUUGAAAUUCAAAUUAUUUUUUUAGGUGUGACAUUUCUAGUGCCCUGAGAGAGAUGAUUUUACUUAAUCAACAACAGCCUAAAAGGAUCUUUGAAACUUUCUUGGGAGAGGGACAUCACAGGAGGUACCCUCAACCAUCCACAUCCUAAAUGACAGACACGGUUUCGCAAGGUUCCCUGGGCCUUUGCAUUGUACCAUUGACCAAGAGGCUCUUCCUCUGUGGUUAGCUCCAGGAAGAUUUCUGAUGUGUCAAAGCCGCCGAUCAGUUAACUCUUUCAGAGGAAGUUAUCUAAAGCCAAAGCUCAUUUCCUUAAAAUGACCUUAUUUUACUUGUGGAACCGAGAAAGCUUAAAAAUAGAAUUGCUUCAAGCUCUGAAGCCGGAAAGUGAAACAUAAUCCAACAUGGUUGCAGCUCACAGCCUGCCCUGGGACAGGGGUAUCUGUUUAUCUGUAAUCCGCAAGCCAGGAAGGUCCCCUGUGUGCAUAAGGGCCUACUUCCUGUGAGCCGUGAGUAGCAAUUGAUGAGAGUCCCGUUAUCAGUAAGCUGAGUUCCUCUGGAAGCACAUUUGAUGGCUGGAGGAGGUGAAUGCCCUUGGCCUUCCCUGCCAGCUCUUGCCAGUCUGCCCUGGAGAACCUUGUAGUUCUUCUAGCAUGCUUUUGAGUGAUUGCUGAGAACAGCUCCAUCCUGCCCUAGUUUCGUGAUCUGUUGUGUGUGGCUAUGAACUCCUGGAUGUAGGAAGUGAACACAGACAGGGCCUGCAUGUUUCACUCCUUCCUGUGGUGGGACUUCGGGAAAACAUAACCGGAGCAGCAUCCUCAAGUCUUAGACCAUCACCUUUGCCAUUCCACAUUCGGCCUUUCUGUGCAAAGAUGGUGGCAUGAGUAUAAAAGCCACACUCCUCCUAAAAGGCAGCGUGAGAGACAGCUAGGUAUAAAGUUAAAUGGUGGCUGGAGUUGCCUGGGUUCCUUUUCUGCCUCCACCUGCUAGCUGUAUGACUCUCCAUUUGCUACCUUCUCCAUUUGCUCAUCUUUCUGGGGUGGGGGAGUACUCACAAGGGGGAAGAAGAAAUGAGCUGAUGUCUGGGAAGUGCUUGAUCCAGUGCCCCACAGAGGUAUGAUAGAGUUGCCAGGCCCUUUGUGGCCUUCUCUUGCACUGUAUUCUGUGUCUUGGUUUUUUCAUUACCCAUUAGUGUUCAUUUCAAACCAUUUACACCUCUAAGAAUGAUGGUUCCUGGGAGGGGGAGGAGUGUAUCCUACAGUGGAUGUUGCCUACUGCCAUCACUGGGCCCCUGGUCUUUGUUACCUCUUUCUAAGCUGCCCAUUGACUUGGGAGGAGAAAGAGAAGAAUAAGUUUCUUAUUGUCAUAGUACAAUCAGCAGUACUAAAUGUUAUGAAUAAAACCUUUAUUUCUCUGA
Cricetulus griseus (Chinese hamster) is the source of this 5697-nucleotide non-coding RNA. The record is from RefSeq and is a predicted model, not a curated record. Lineage: Eukaryota; Metazoa; Chordata; Mammalia; Rodentia; Cricetidae.